AGCGAACGCUGGCGGCAUGCCUAACACAUGCAAGUCGCACGGGGGGGCUUCGGCCUCCCAGUGGCGGACGGGUGAGGAACGCGUAGGGACCUGUCGAGGGGUGGGGGAUAACCGCGGGAAACUGCGGCUAAUACCGCAUGACGCCGCGGCGUGACAGCCGGGGCCAAAGGCGAAAGCCGCCCGCCGAGGGGCCUGCGUCCGAUUAGCUGGUUGGCGGGGUAGCGGCCCACAAGGCGUCGAUCGGUAGCUGGUCUGAGAGGGUGAUCAGCCACACCGGGACUGAGACACGGCCCGGACUCCUACGGGAGGCAGCAGUGGGGAAUAUUGGACAAUGGGCGCAAGCCUGAUCCAGCAAUGCCGCGUGGGUGAAGAAGGUCUUCGGAUUGUAAAGCCCUUUCGGCGGGGACGAUGGUGACGGUACCCGCAGAAGAAGCCCCGGCUAACUUCGUG
This 450-nucleotide ribosomal RNA is filed under the name uncultured bacterium. RNAcentral's name for it is "partial 16S ribosomal RNA". It matches the Rfam family "Bacterial small subunit ribosomal RNA", at positions 28 to 507 of the family's 1533-position model. The record is from RNAcentral.